Molecule: non-coding RNA, 337 nt
Organism: Peromyscus maniculatus bairdii (prairie deer mouse)
Lineage: Eukaryota; Metazoa; Chordata; Mammalia; Rodentia; Cricetidae
Source: RefSeq, a predicted model, not a curated record
CAGAGGACACCAUCACUUGAGUAAAGCUGCAGUCUUCAGAAGGGGAAAAAAAUCUUCAUCAGUUAUUUAUACAUCUGACAGAAGGAUGGAGAGAGAAAGGCAAGUGAAGUUCUCGACACAAUGCCUAGCAGAUGUCGACAUUUCCUUCUUUUCCUCCUCGUUCACCCAGGCCACUUCUGAGAAAGAGAGAAUCUACCUGGAUGCCCUAGAGUCUAGGGCCUAGACCGUCUUGAAGUAUGGACAUGUAAGUGCAGAUGACACACAGAAGACUUGCUAUGUCUAUAAGCAAAUUAGCCACAUCCUUUUCUCGUGCCAUGGUGAGAGGCAGAGCAAAUCC